Molecule: ribosomal RNA, 276 nt
Filed under: uncultured bacterium
Lineage: Bacteria
Description: partial 16S ribosomal RNA
Rfam family: Bacterial small subunit ribosomal RNA
Source: RNAcentral
CCGUUGCCGGCGACCGGCGCACGGGUGAGUAACACGUAUGCAACCUGCCCGUGGCAGGGGGAUAAGCGGGGGAAACCCCGUCUAAUACCGCGUAACGCGGCCUAGGGACAUCCCAAGGCCGCCAAGGGAGCAAUCCCGGCCACGGAUGGGCAUGCGGCGCAUUAGCUAGUCGGCGGGGUAACGGCCCACCGAGGCGACGAUGCGUAGGGGUUCUGAGAGGAACGGCCCCCCACACUGGUACUGAGACACGGACCAGACUCCUACGGGAGGCAGCAG